This 300-nucleotide ribosomal RNA is filed under the name uncultured Pyrobaculum sp. Its description in RNAcentral is "bacterial SSU rRNA". It matches the Rfam family "Bacterial small subunit ribosomal RNA", at positions 496 to 795 of the family's 1533-position model. Lineage: Archaea; Thermoproteati; Thermoproteota; Thermoprotei; Thermoproteales; Thermoproteaceae. The record is from RNAcentral.
GGGAUCGCCGCGGCAGCGGACGGGGUAAUACGGAGGGCGCGGGGGUUGUCCGGAGUUACUGUGGUGAAAGGGCGGGUAGGCGGAUCAUUAAUGGGCUGGUGGAAUCCCGGGGCUAAACGCCGGGGGUGCCGGUCAGACUGGUGGGCUUGAGCACGGUAGAGGCGGAUGGAAUUCCCGGUGUAGCGGUGGAAUGCGUAGAGAGCGGGAAGAAUACCGGUGGCGAAGGCGUUCCGCUGGGCCGUUGCUGACGCUGAGGCGCGACAGCGUGGGGAGCAAACAGGAUUAGAUACCCCUGUAGUC